AUUGAACGCUGGCGGCAGGCCUAACACAUGCAAGUCGAGCGGAUGAAGGGAGCUUGCUCCUGGAUUCAGCGGAGGACGGGUGAGUAAUGCCUAGGAAUCUGCCUGGUAUUGGGGGAUAACGUCCGGAAACGGGCGCUAAUACCGCAUACGUCCUUAGGGAGAAAGUGGUGGAUCUUCGGACCUCACGCUAUCUGAUGAGCCUAGGUCGGAUUAGCUAGUUGGUGGGGUAAAGGCCUACCAAGGCGACGAUCCGUAACUGGUCUGAGAGGAUGAUCAGUCACACUGGAACUGAGACACGGUCCAGACUCCUACGGGAGGCAGCAGUGGGGAAUAUUGGACAAUGGGCGAAAGCCUGAUCCAGCCAUGCCGCGUGUGUGAAGAAGGUCUUCGGAUUGUAAAGCACUUUAAGUUGGGAGGAAGGGCAGUAAGUUAAUACCUUGCUGUUUUGACGUUACCAACAGAAUAAGCACCGGCUAACUUCGUG
RNAcentral lists this ribosomal RNA (484 nucleotides) under uncultured bacterium. RNAcentral describes it as "partial 16S ribosomal RNA". It matches the Rfam family "Bacterial small subunit ribosomal RNA", at positions 30 to 507 of the family's 1533-position model. The record is from RNAcentral.